Molecule: ribosomal RNA, 112 nt
Filed under: Danio rerio (zebrafish)
Lineage: Eukaryota; Metazoa; Chordata; Actinopteri; Cypriniformes; Danionidae
Source: RNAcentral
AGCCACAGCCAUAUCACCCUGCAACCCAAGACUGAUUACUCACUGAAGCUGAGCAGAGCCUGGUCAGUACCUGGAUGGGAGACCACACGGGAACACUAGGUUGCUGUUGGAA